RNAcentral lists this small RNA (353 nucleotides) under Arabidopsis thaliana (thale cress). RNAcentral describes it as "ATSL000930". Lineage: Eukaryota; Viridiplantae; Streptophyta; Magnoliopsida; Brassicales; Brassicaceae. The record is from RNAcentral.
AUGGUUGAAAAAAUCUUUCAAUCAAUUACUAAAAAAAAAAGUAAAUGAAGAAAGCAAUACCUCAUGCAGCAGCUUGUGAUAUGAUCCAAAAACAAAUCGGGACAGCUAAAGGUCUUGGCUGGUACAAGCAAAAACUCGGUCUCCUUGAGCCCAUCCAGCUUCUUUCAGGUACUACAACAUAUUAAAAAGAUUGCACAUGUCAAAAUGACUAUUACCAUAUCCAAAUUUCGAUUGUUUCCUACUUUCCUUUUAUCUUCAACAGUUGUUUCCUUUUUCUUAUUUGAGAACGUUCGAGAAAUCUGGACCGUCUAUUUUCAUCAUAUUGCAACUGUGAGAUCUGAUGGUGAUUAUCU